UUUCCCUCCAGAGUGGAUCCUGAGUACGGCGGAACACGUGAAAUUCCGUCGGAAUCCGGGAGGACCAUCUCCCAAGGCUAAAUACUCCCUAGUGACCGAUAGUGAACCAGUACCGUGAGGGAAAGGUGAAAAGCACCCCGGAAGGGGAGUGAAACAGUUCCUGAAACCGUGUGCCUACAAGUAGUUAGAGCCCGUUAAUGGGUGAUAGCGUGCCUUUUGUAGAAUGAACCGGCGAGUUACGAUUUGUUGCAAGGUUAAGCGGAAAAAGCGGAGCCGUAGCGAAAGCGAGUCUGAAUAGGGCGAAUAAGUAACAGGUCGUAGACCCGAAACCAGGUGAUCUACCCAUGUCCAGGAUGAAGGUAAGGUAAUACUUACUGGAGGUCCGAACCCACGCACGUUGAAAAGUGCGGGGAUGAGGUGUGGGUAGCGGAGAAAUUCCAAUCGAACUUGGAGAUAGCUGGUUCUCUCCGAAAUAGCUUUAGGGCUAGCCUCGAGGUAAAGAGUCAUGGAGGUAGAGCACUGUUUGGACUAGGGGCCCUUCUCGGGUUACCGAAUUCAGAUAAACUCCGAAUGCCAUGUACUUAUACUCGGGAGUCAGACUGCGAGUGAUAAGAUCCGUAGUCGAAAGGGAAACAGCCCAGACCACCAGUUAAGGUCCCAAAAUAUAUGUUAAGUGGAAAAGGAUGUGGGGUUGCUUAGACAACCAGGAUGUUGGCUUAGAAGCAGCCACCAUUGAAAGAGUGCGUAAUAGCUCACUGGUCGAGUGACCCCGCGCCGAAAAUGUACCGGGGCUAAACAUAUUACCGAAACUGUGGAUGAACCUCAUUAGAGGUUCGUGGUAGGAGAGCGUUCUAAGGGCGGUGAAGUCAGACCGGAAGGACUGGUGGAGCGCUUAGAAGUGAGAAUGCCGGUAUGAGUAGCGAAAGAAGGGUGAGAAUCCCUUCCACCGAAUAUCUAAGGUUUCCUGAGGAAGGCUCGUCCGCUCAGGGUUAGUCGGGACCUAAGCCGAGGCCGAUAGGCGUAGGCGAUGGACAACAGGUAGAGAUUCCUGUACCAGUGCUAAUUGUUUAACCGAUGGGGUGACACAGAAGGAUAGGGAAUCGCACGAAUGGAAAUGUGCGUCCAAGCAGUGAGUGUGAGAAGUAGGCAAAUCCGCUUCUCGCGAAGCAUGAGCUGUGAUGGGGAAGGAAAUUAAGUACGGAAGUUCCUGAUUUCACGCUGUCAAGAAAAGCCUCUAGGAAGAGUAGUACUGCCCGUACCGCAAACCGACACAGGUAGAUGAGGAGAGAAUCCUAAGGUGAGCGAGAGAACUCUCGUUAAGGAACUCGGCAAAAUGACCCCGUAACUUCGGGAGAAGGGGUGCUCUAUUAGGGUGAAAGCCCGAGAGAGCCGCAGUGAAUAGGCCCAGGCGACUGUUUAGCAAAAACACAGGUCUCUGCAAAACCGUAAGGUG
RNAcentral lists this ribosomal RNA (1453 nucleotides) under Listeria marthii. RNAcentral's name for it is "partial 23S ribosomal RNA". It matches the Rfam family "Bacterial large subunit ribosomal RNA", at positions 389 to 1840 of the family's 2925-position model. The record is from RNAcentral. Lineage: Bacteria; Bacillati; Bacillota; Bacilli; Caryophanales; Listeriaceae.